ACAGCUUCUAAACUUCUAGAAACAUAAAGUAGUUGGUAUUUUUGAUUUUUUUGCACUUGAAUUAAGAAUUGUAGAGUUGGGAUGGUAAUGAUCUCCCUUGGAGUUUAGUGAUCCCUCUAGAGUUUAGUGGUCCCUUUAAAGAAAUAAUAUUAAUCUAAAAGUUAGAAAUUGUCAAAAAUUUGAUCCAAGGGUUAAAAAAUUACAAACACCACAUAAAUUUCUAGAAGAAUAAGAGUAUUUUGAUUAGUUUAUUAAGGCUGCGUUUGUUUCGGGUAGAAAUAAGAACUGCUUAUUUUUGGAGAUAGAUACAUGUUCAAGUAUAAGAGCAUGAAUUAGAGUAAAUUUUUGUUUGGAUAAAAAUUGGAUUGUUUCUGAAAAUAAGAUAAAUAGUAUUUAGAUGGUUAAAUUGGAAUAUCAGGAAUAAGAGUAAUUAUAAUUUUAAAUUAAAAAUAUUUUAUCUAAUUAAUUAACGUCAAAAUAUUAACAAAAAAUAAUUUUAAUAAAAUAAUAAUUUUAUUAGCUAUGACUAUUGUAUAAGAUAAUAAAAAAUAUAUUAAUAUAUUAAUUAAUUAAUUAAUAAAAUAUAACUUAACUUUUUAAUUAUUAGUAAAUUAUUUGAUUAGUUUAAAAAAUUUAAUUUAAUUUGUCAAAAUAUUAAUUAGUUGACCGAUAUAGAUAUUAGUUAUUAGAUAAACACAUUAAAUACUUAAUUUUUGAUAAGUUAAUGAAUCAUAAACAUUAAAUUAAUUAAUUACUUAACUAUUUAAGUAAUAGAUAAUGACUUAAAUAUAUUACUUAGAUUAAUUAACAAGUUAAUAGAAUGGUCAAAAUUAAAUUUA
Molecule: long non-coding RNA, 839 nt
Filed under: Ananas comosus (pineapple)
Lineage: Eukaryota; Viridiplantae; Streptophyta; Magnoliopsida; Poales; Bromeliaceae
Description: long non-coding RNA (ACOM_LNC010447)
Source: RNAcentral